Molecule: ribosomal RNA, 246 nt
Filed under: uncultured bacterium
Lineage: Bacteria
Description: partial 16S ribosomal RNA
Rfam family: Bacterial small subunit ribosomal RNA
Source: RNAcentral
GAUCAUGUCAGGAUGAACGCUAGCUACAGGCUUAACACAUGCAAGUCGAGGGGCAGCAUUUUAGUUUGCUUGCAAACUAAAGAUGGCGACCGGCGCACGGGUGAGUAACACGUAUCCAACCUGCCGAUAACUCGGGGAUAGCCUUUCGAAAGAAAGAUUAAUAUCCGAUAGUAUAUUUUCUCCGCAUGGCGAGAAUAUUAAAGAAUUUCGGUUAUCAAUGGGGAUGCGUUCCAUUAGUUUGUUGGG